This 820-nucleotide ribosomal RNA is filed under the name uncultured Anaerovibrio sp. RNAcentral's name for it is "bacterial SSU rRNA". It matches the Rfam family "Bacterial small subunit ribosomal RNA", at positions 36 to 745 of the family's 1533-position model. Lineage: Bacteria; Bacillati; Bacillota; Negativicutes; Selenomonadales; Selenomonadaceae. The record is from RNAcentral.
CAUGGGGGUGCUUACCAUGCAAGUCGAACGGUCCAAAGCUUAACACCGAGAACAUACUGCUUAAAGGCAGAGCGGUGGCGAAGUGAAACGAGCCAUCACGCAUACAUAAAGUGAUUAUCAAGCAAAAUGUUUUGGGUGUUGAGCUUUGGAUAGUGGCGAACGGGUGAGUAACGCGUAGGCAAUCUGCCUUCUAGAUGGGGACAACAUCCCGAAAGGGGUGCUAAUACCGAAUGUUGUAAUUGGUUCGCAUGGACUAGCUACUAAAGGUGGCCUCUGAAUAUGCUACCGCUAGAAGAUGAGCCUGCGUCUGAUUAGCUAGUUGGAGGGGUAACGGCCCACCAAGGCUUCGAUCAGUAGCCGGUCUGAGAGGAUGAACGGCCACACUGGGACUGAGACACGGCCCAGACUCCUACGGGAGGCAGCAGUGGGGAAUCUUCCGCAAUGGACGAAAGUCUGACGGAGCAACGCCGCGUGAGUGAAGAAGGUUUUCGGAUCGUAAAGCUCUUUCGUUAGGGACGAACGUGCUCUUUGUGAAUAAUGAGGAGUAAUGACGGUACCUAAAUAAGAAGCCACGGCUAACUACGUGCCAGCAGCCGCGGUAAUACGUAGGUGGCAAGCGUUGUCCGGAAUUAUUGGGCGUAAAGCGCGCGCAGGCGGGAUAUCAAGUCUGUCUUAAAAGUGCGAGGCUCAACCUCGUGAGGGGACGGAAACUGGUAUUCUUGAGUGUCGGAGAGGAAAGUGGAAUUCCAAGUGUAGCGGUGAAUGCGUAGAGAUUUGGAAGACACCAGUGGCGAAGCGACUUUCUGGACGAUGUCUGACG